ACCUUCGUGGUGUAGUGGCCAGCACGCUCGACGCGUAUUCAAGAAGUCUGUGGUUCGAGUCCCGCCGAAGGCA
RNAcentral lists this transfer RNA (73 nucleotides) under Stegodyphus mimosarum. It matches the Rfam family "tRNA". Rfam says of the family: Transfer RNA (tRNA) molecules are approximately 80 nucleotides in length. Their secondary structure includes four short double-helical elements and three loops (D, anti-codon, and T loops). Further hydrogen bonds mediate the characteristic L-shaped molecular structure. tRNAs have two regions of fundamental functional importance: the anti-codon, which is responsible for specific mRNA codon recognition, and the 3' end, to which the tRNAs corresponding amino acid is attached (by aminoacyl-tRNA synthetases). tRNAs cope with the degeneracy of the genetic code in two manners: having more than one tRNA (with a specific anti-codon) for a particular amino acid; and 'wobble' base-pairing, i.e. permitting non-standard base-pairing at the 3rd anti-codon position. Lineage: Eukaryota; Metazoa; Arthropoda; Arachnida; Araneae; Eresidae. The record is from Rfam by way of RNAcentral.